This 2339-nucleotide long non-coding RNA is filed under the name Gossypium barbadense (sea-island cotton). Its description in RNAcentral is "long non-coding RNA (GBAR_LNC011518)". The record is from RNAcentral. Lineage: Eukaryota; Viridiplantae; Streptophyta; Magnoliopsida; Malvales; Malvaceae.
CGAAAUUAGCAUGGGGGAAGACAUGGCUAGGGUUUUCAAGCUUUCCAAGCUCAAUAGUAAGUCGUUCUAGCCCCGUUUUUCAAGUUCUUUACGUUUUUAGAAUCCCGGUAACUUGAUUAAGCUUAUGCUAGCAAUAAUUCAACCUAGGGUUCGUAUUUGGAAAAAUACUCGUAGGUGAAAUUUGUGUAUUUUGGUGUUUUAUGAUAGAGCAUGAGGUUUUAAAUUAUGUUAGACAACUUGUGCUACUCGGUUUUAAGCGAAAACGAGUAAAAGGGCUUAAUCGGUAAAAAUACCUAAUAGUCAUAAGUGCAUGUUAGAGUGAGAAUUUGAUGUUGUCAUAGAAGGGAAAAAUGAUCAUCAUGUCAUAAAACAUAAGAAAAAGGGAUGAAGUUUAAUUCCUGAGCCUAGGGGCAAAAGUGUAAUUAUGCAAAAGUUUAGGGGCAAAAUGGUAAUUUUGCCAAAGUUCAUAUUAAAGGCUGUUUUGAUGAAUGUAUGUAUUAAAUAAAUUAAUUUGGUAUUAUAGAUCAAGAGAAACGAGAUUCAAGUCGUGAUCGAGGGAAAAACAAAGUUUACAAGGAAUAGGCCCGAUUGCUAAUAUUUUGUAUCGAGGUAAGUUCGUAUGACAAUAAUAAUGCAAUGUUAUGUUUGAAUUAUAUUUCUUACUGUUAUUGCAUAUAUUGUAUGAUUUAAUAUAUUGGAAAAGUUGAUGGAAUGGUGUUUAUGAUGUGGAAAUAUGACAUGAAAGAAUGUUACAUGAAGUGCAAGAAAAUGAUGAUACAUGACAAGUGAUAUAUGAAAUAUGUGAUUUAUGUUAUGUAAAUUCUUAAAAGCUGAUUUUCUAUUUGAGUUGUGUCUUAUUAUACUAUGAAUGGACAAUUGGUACUAUGGAUAGUGAGAUCGACACUUCGAGUAAGUUCGUAUAUAAAUAAUCUAUCGAUUCUUUUUAUGUUAAUAUAUUUUGAUAUCAUAUGAAAUGUGGCUGCAUAUCAAAUGAUUAUUUGAUGUAAAUUAUGAAUUUAAAUUGAUUACGGACAAUUUAGUAAAAUGUUGAAAAGUGAGGAAUUUCCCGGUUGAACCUUUGGAAUAGAAACGAUACCAAUGAGGUAUUGUGAGGUCACGUGUGUAGUACUAAGUGUAGGCUACUACGUGUACCAGGUAAUUGGUCGCAUGUGUAGUACUAAGUGCAGGCUACUAUGCGUACCAGAUAACUUCGAUCACGUGUGUAGUACUAAGUGCAGGCUACUACGUGUAUCAGAUGGUUAGGUCACGUGUGUAGUACUAAGUGCAGGCUACUACGUGUAUCGGAUAAUUGGUCGCGUGUGUAGUACUAAGUGUAGGCUACUAUGCGUACCAGAUAGCUUCGGCUACAAGUGUGGAAAUGAGAAAAUGUGCAGGCAAUUGUGUAUCUAUUAUUAUACCGAUGAGUUCAACGGGAAAUCGAUUAAGUGAAAAUAAAUGUGAAAGUGAUUAUGUGAUGAACAAGUGCAAGUAUAUGUUAUUUGAAUUUAUGAGCAAUAUGCUCGAUAUUUGAGCGAACCUCGGUAAAAUGGAAGGGAUUAAGUGAAAUUGUGCAAAAGUGAACUUUAGUAGUAAAAUAGUGUUGGACAGCAACAGUGCAUGAAUUUGAAAAUUUACCAAAAAUUGUGUAAGUUGAAUUAAAUUUCAAAUAAAAUAUGUAAUUAAAUUUUAUUAAGUCUAUUUUCACAUAAAAGAAACAGGGGAAGCAAAAGAAUUCCAUAUUAUGUGAUAUUUGAAUUCUUGUGAGACAGUGUCUGAAUGAAUUCGAGAUCCCCUGUUCUGAAUUGGAAAAAUUGUUAAAAAUUAUAGAAAAAUAAUUUUGGGGUAUAAUUUAUGUGCCUAGAAUCUUGGAUGAGUCUACUUUUAAUAAAAACAAACGAUAACAUCAUCCAAGUUUUUUACUAUGAGAUAAAUAAAUUUUAGUGAAAAAAGGUCGAAGCUGUUAAACAGCAAACAGGGGAGAUUUUGAAUAAUAAACUGUACUUAUUGGCUGGACUAAAAAUUCUGAAAAUUUUAUGGAAGAAAUAUAUAUGAGUUUAGUUUUUGGGAAAAUUUACGGAUAUUAAUUUGGAGUUCCCUAACUCUAAAUAUAAAUGAUUUAGUGACUAUUACUCAAGAAAAUAGCCUAACCAGAACAUGUGUAAAUGUACAAAUGAGUUAGUUUUAUUGUGGGAAGCAUGUUAGUAAAUUGCUUAUUAUUAUUUCAUGUGAGCUUACUAAGCAUAAAGCUUACCCCCCUCCUUUCCAUUUCUUUUAGUGUUGUCAGGUUAGCUCAGGGUUGGAGACCGUCGGAGGCAGCAUCACACUAUCAAGCCAACACC